AACGUAGGACGCAAGCGUUAUCCGGAAUUACUGGGCGUAAAGCGCGUGUAGGUGGUUUUAUAAGUCACUGUUGAAAGCUCCCGGCUAAACUGGGAGGGGUGCGGUGAGACUGUAGAGCUAGAGUUUGGGAGAGGGGUGCGGAAUUCCGGGUGUAGUGGUGAAAUGCGUAGAGAUCCGGAGGAACACCAGAGGCGAAGGCGGCACCCUGGCCUAAUACUGACACUGAGACGCGAAAGCAUGGGGAGCGAACGGG
Molecule: ribosomal RNA, 253 nt
Filed under: uncultured bacterium
Lineage: Bacteria
Description: partial 16S ribosomal RNA
Rfam family: Bacterial small subunit ribosomal RNA
Source: RNAcentral